UUCCAGACUCCUACGGGAGGCAGCAGUGGGGAAUAUUGGGCAAUGGGCGCAAGCCUGACCCAGCAACGCCGCGUGAAGGAAGAAGGCUUUCGGGUUGUAAACUUCUUUUCUCAGGGACGAAGAAAGCGACGGUACCUGAGGAAUAAGCCACGGCUAACUACGUGCCAGCAGCCGCGGUAAUACGUAGGUGGCAAGCGUUAUCCGGAUUUACUGGGUGUAAAGGGCGUGUAGGCGGGACUGCAAGUCAGAUGUGAAAACCAUGGGCUCAACCUGUGGCCUGCAUUUGAAACUGUGUUUCUUGAGUGCUGGAGAGGCAAUCGGAAUUCCGUGUGUAGCGGUGAAAUGCGUAGAUAUACGGAGGAGCACCAGUGGCGAAGGCGGAUUGCUGGACAGUAACUGACGCUGAGGCGCGAAAGCGUGGGGAGCAAGCAGGAUUAGAUACCCCUGUAC
This 450-nucleotide ribosomal RNA is filed under the name uncultured bacterium. Its description in RNAcentral is "partial 16S ribosomal RNA". It matches the Rfam family "Bacterial small subunit ribosomal RNA", at positions 329 to 793 of the family's 1533-position model. The record is from RNAcentral.